Symphalangus syndactylus (siamang) is the source of this 835-nucleotide long non-coding RNA. RefSeq lists it as uncharacterized. Lineage: Eukaryota; Metazoa; Chordata; Mammalia; Primates; Hylobatidae. The record is from RefSeq and is a predicted model, not a curated record.
UCUCAUGGCGUCCUACUUCGUGUUACCUAAAGCCAAGGGCGAUUAGAAGGUAAUCGCCUCCUGGUCAUGCUCCCACUGGUCACCAGUGUCCGCGGGGGGACCCCACAUUGUGGCCAGAGCAGGCCUGUGGCUGCGCUCAAGGCGGGAGCGUUCAUAGCUUUCCUGGCGGGGGCCCUGCGGGACGCCCAGGCAGCGUCCCUUUCCCUUGCUCACCUGGCCCUGAAGUGAGGGGGGAGGUGUAACAAUGCAGUGGGAACCCCAAAGUGUGUCUCGGCCGUGCCUUUCACAUUCCAAACAAUGCAAAAGCUUGAGGAAAACCUCGGCAGUUGAAACCGUGAUGCAGUUCAGCAAAGAAGUAGCUCCUGUCCUCGUAAAAUCAGUGAAGUUCUCACGGACAACCUCAUUGAGAUUUAAACCUCUGACACAGGGAGCUGACCUAUUCACCUUAGAAUCCUCUGGGGCACCCAUUACAGUGUCUGUACCAAGGAGGCAAUAAAGAACGGCGGAACAGACUGGAGCAGAAGGACCACCCAGCAGAGUCAAGCCAAAUCACUGACCCUUAGAGGCCUGAUAUGAAUGUUAUGGAGUCAGUCCAUUGGAUUCUGCAGUAAUCUGCCGAUCUACAGUAUUACCACAGUAAAUAACGGAUAGACCUGAAAAUGAACAUGUGCCUUGUGCCAAAAUUGCAGGAAACCUCACCAGUAGAAACAAUUUUAUAUGAGGGAAUGUACUCUCUCCUUUGCAUUUUUCCUCAAUUCUGUAUUUUUAGCCCCUUACUUGUCUCUACAGAGCCUCAGUCGCUUAAUCUAAUUGCUGACUGAACAUCUCCAGGAAA